RNAcentral lists this ribosomal RNA (363 nucleotides) under uncultured bacterium. Its description in RNAcentral is "bacterial SSU rRNA". It matches the Rfam family "Bacterial small subunit ribosomal RNA", at positions 790 to 1167 of the family's 1533-position model. The record is from RNAcentral.
GUAGUCCACGCCGUAAACUAUGGAUACUAGCUGUUGGAGGUAUCGACCCCUUCAGUAGCGAAGCUAACGCGUUAAGUAUCCCGCCUGUGGAGUACGGUCGCAAGACUAAAACAUAAAGGAAUUGACGGGGAUCAGCACAAGCGGUGGAUCGUGUUCUUUAAUUCGAUGCUAAACGAAGAACCUUACCAGGGUUUGACAUCCCAAGAAUUUUGUCGAAAGACGAGAGUGCUUUAUUGAACUUGGUGACAGGUGUUGCAUGGCCGUCGUCAGCUCGUGUCGUGAGAUGUUUGGUUAAGUCCAUCAACGAGCGCAACCCUUGUGAAUAGUUGUAUUUUUCUAUUCAGACUGCUCUAGUAAUAGGGA